GGGCACUGGGGGGGCGUGCCUAAUACAUGCAAGUCGAACGCUUUGUGGUUCAACUGAUUUGAAGAGCUUGCUCAGAUAUGACGAUGGACAUUGCAAAGAGUGGCGAACGGGUGAGUAACACGUGGGAAACCUACCUCUUAGCAGGGGAUAACAUUUGGAAACAGAUGCUAAUACCGUAUAACAAUGACAACCGCAUGGUUGUUAUUUAAAAGAUGGUUCUGCUAUCACUAAGAGAUGGUCCCGCGGUGCAUUAGCUAGUUGGUAAGGUAAUGGCUUACCAAGGCGAUGAUGCAUAGCCGAGUUGAGAGACUGAUCGGCCACAAUGGGACUGAGACACGGCCCAUACUCCUACGGGAGGCAGCAGUAGGGAAUCUUCCACAAUGGGCGAAAGCCUGAUGGAGCAACGCCGCGUGUGUGAUGAAGGGUUUCGGCUCGUAAAACACUGUUGUAAGAGAAGAAUGACAUUGAGAGUAACUGUUCAAUGUGUGACGGUAUCUUACCAGAAAGGAACGGCUAAAUACGUGCCAGCAGCCGCGGUAAUACGUAUGUUCCAAGCGUUAUCCGGAUUUAUUGGGCGUAAAGCGAGCGCAGACGGUUAUUUAAGUCUGAAGUGAAAGCCCUCAGCUCAACUGAGGAAUUGCUUUGGAAACUGGAUGACUUGAGUGCAGUAGAGGAAAGUGGAACUCCAUGUGUAGCGGUGAAAUGCGUAGAUAUAUGGAAGAACACCAGUGGCGAAGGCGGCUUUCUGGACUGUAACUGACGUUGAGGCUCGAAAGUGUGGGUAGCAAACAGGAUUAGAUACCCUGGUAGUCCACACCGUAAACGAUGAGUGCUAGGUGUUUGAGGGUUUCCGCCCUUAAGUGCCGCAGCUAACGCAUUAAGCACUCCGCCUGGGGAGUACGACCGCAAGGUUGAAACUCAAAGGAAUUGACGGGGACCCGCACAAGCGGUGGAGCAUGUGGUUUAAUUCGAAGCAACGCGAAGAACCUUACCAGGUCUUGACAUCCCUUGACAACUCCAGAGAUGGAGCGUUCCCUUCGGGGACAAGGUGACAGGUGGUGCAUGGUUGUCGUCAGCUCGUGUCGUGAGAUGUUGGGUUAAGUCCCGCAACGAGCGCAACCCUUAUUACUAGUUGCCAGCAUUCAGUUGGGCACUCUAGUGAGACUGCCGGUGACAAACCGGAGGAAGGUGGGGAUGACGUCAAAUCAUCAUGCCCCUUAUGACCUGGGCUACACACGUGCUACAAUGGCGUAUACAACGAGUUGCCAACCCGCGAGGGUGAGCUAAUCUCUUAAAGUACGUCUCAGUUCGGAUUGUAGGCUGCAACUCGCCUACAUGAAGUCGGAAUCGCUAGUAAUCGCGGAUCAGCACGCCGCGGUGAAUACGUUCCCGGGUCUUGUACACACCGCCCGUCACACCAUGAGAGUUUGUAACACCCAAAGCCGGUGGGGUAACCUUCGGGAGCCAGCCGUCUAAGGUGACCAGAAUAUUG
Molecule: ribosomal RNA, 1492 nt
Filed under: Weissella confusa
Lineage: Bacteria; Bacillati; Bacillota; Bacilli; Lactobacillales; Lactobacillaceae
Description: bacterial SSU rRNA
Rfam family: Bacterial small subunit ribosomal RNA
Source: RNAcentral